GAUGAACGCUGGCGGCGUGCCUAAUACAUGCAAGUCGAGCGAACAGACGAGGAGCUUUCUCCUCUGCCGUUAGCGGCGGACGGGUGAGUAACACGUGGAUAACCUACCUAUAGGCCUGGGAUAACCUCGGGAAACCGGAGCUAAUACCGGAUAAUAUAUUCAACCGCAUGGCUCAUUAGUGAAAUACAGUUUUUCUGUCUCGUAUAGAUGGAUCCGCGCCGCAUUAGCUAGUUGGUAAGGUAACGGCAUAUCAAGGCAACGAUGCGUAGCCGACCUGAGAGGGUGGUCAGCCACACUGGAACUGAGACACGGUCCAGACUACUACGGGAGGCAGCAGUAGGGAAUCGUCCGCAAUGGGCGAAAGCUUGACGGAGCAACGCCGAGUGAGUGAUGAAAGUCUUCGGAUCGUAGAACUCUGUUAUUAGGAAAGAACAAAUGUGUAAGUUACUAUGAACGGCUUGACGGUACUUAAUCAGAAAGCAACGGCUAACUACGUG
This 497-nucleotide ribosomal RNA is filed under the name uncultured bacterium. RNAcentral's name for it is "partial 16S ribosomal RNA". It matches the Rfam family "Bacterial small subunit ribosomal RNA", at positions 28 to 507 of the family's 1533-position model. The record is from RNAcentral.